This 383-nucleotide ribosomal RNA is filed under the name uncultured organism. Its description in RNAcentral is "bacterial SSU rRNA". It matches the Rfam family "Bacterial small subunit ribosomal RNA", at positions 526 to 896 of the family's 1533-position model. The record is from RNAcentral.
CGAACCGUCCAAACGUUAUUCGGAAUUAUUGGGCUUAAAGGGUAUGUAGGCGGCGCUGUUAGUCGGGUGUGAAAUCCCUCGGCUCAACCGAGGAAUUGCGCCCGAAACUGCAGUGCUUGAGGGAGACAGAGGUAAGCGGAACUGAUGGUGGAGCGGUGAAAUGCGUUGAUAUCAUCAGGAACACCGGUGGACGAAAGCGGCUUACGUGGGUCUCUUCUGACGCUGAGAUAACGAAAGCGUAGGGGAGCGGAAGGGGAUUAGACUACCCCCGUAGUCCUAGCUAGUAAACGAUGAGCACUUGGGUCGGGGACUCCCCUCAUUAGGUUCUCGGCCGUAGACGAAAGUGUCAAGUGCUCCGCCUGGGGAGUAUGGUCGCAAGGCUG